Molecule: ribosomal RNA, 253 nt
Filed under: uncultured bacterium
Lineage: Bacteria
Description: partial 16S ribosomal RNA
Rfam family: Bacterial small subunit ribosomal RNA
Source: RNAcentral
UACGUAGGGUGCGAGCGUUGUCCGGAAUUAUUGGGCGUAAAGGGCGCGUAGGCGGCCUGCUAAGUCGAACGUGAAAUCCCCGGGCUCAACCCGGGAACUGCGUCCGAUACUGGCAGGCUUGAAUCCGGGAGAGGGAUGCGGAAUUCCAGGUGUAGCGGUGAAAUGCGUAGAUAUCUGGAGGAACACCGGUGGCGAAGGCGGCAUCCUGGACCGGCAUUGACGCUGAGGCGCGAAAGCCAGGGGAGCAAACGGG